AUGUAAGACAACAAAAUCGAGUGGCCCACUUUACACUUAAUGGAAAGCAUCAAUUGCUUUUCAAAUCAGAGAAAUUGGAUAUGAAUACUUCAGAGGGUAUUGUUCCUUCUUUCAAAACAUUGAUACAAAGGAACACUCUGCACUUGGCUGCUAAUGGCAAGGUUACAGAAGCUACAGAAGUUCCAAUAAAUGAUUAAAAGAAGAAGAAGAAGAAGAAGAAGGAGAAAGCAUUAUAGUUUUACAGAUGCUUUGGCUUUCCCAUCCCUUCCUUUUAUCAAUAUUGAAUCACCACAUCAUUUCUAUUUUUAAACUUUCAAGAAAUCAUGAUUGGAAUUCUUUCUCUUUAGGCUAUCCUGUCAUCUCACAUUUUACUCAUGUUUUUCGGAACAACUGAUGCUUCAAGAAGCAGGAAACAAAUUACAAGUUUAGAAAUAGUCACAGGGCAUUGCCCCAUUCUUGGUAUCAUUCUGGUUGACUUUGCAAUGAUACUGUGGCUAUUUAGUGCUAAGAAUAUGAUUUGUGGAUUUUUUUUUUUUUUGCUGGCAGAUGCACAUAAAUCAUUGACUUUCCAUCAAUCAUUUCACACCUGUCUUUAGGUGAAGCUAUGUUUGUGCAUGAAUCACUAUAUGCAUGAAUCAUAUAAUGUGUAUUACGCUGAAAUACAGAGAUGCCUGGAAACUAAUAA
Molecule: long non-coding RNA, 685 nt
Organism: Pantherophis guttatus
Lineage: Eukaryota; Metazoa; Chordata; Lepidosauria; Squamata; Colubridae
Source: RefSeq, a predicted model, not a curated record